RNAcentral lists this non-coding RNA (27 nucleotides) under Rattus norvegicus (Norway rat). The record is from RNAcentral. Lineage: Eukaryota; Metazoa; Chordata; Mammalia; Rodentia; Muridae.
UGGGACAAGCAUUCGCUCCCUUGGCCC